This is a long non-coding RNA of Hyaena hyaena (striped hyena), 228 nucleotides long. RefSeq lists it as uncharacterized. Lineage: Eukaryota; Metazoa; Chordata; Mammalia; Carnivora; Hyaenidae. The record is from RefSeq and is a predicted model, not a curated record. The transcript is spliced from 3 exons.
CCAGUGCUCUGCGCGGUAGUUCUCCACGCGGACCGUCGACGCUGGCCGAACCCAGGUCCUUAAGGCAAAGAACAAGACUGGUCUGGCUGUGCUGAGCCAAGGAUAAUAGGAAAUGCUGGAAGGUGGCAGGCCUGGGGGAGCAAAGACUCACUAGUCAAAUUUAGAAGACCGCGUUUUAACAACUGCUUUUAAACCAACCUAACACCGUACUUCAGUAUUUAGCUGGAG